AUUGAACGCUGGCGGCAGGCCUAACACAUGCAAGUCGAGCGAGCGUCGGACGGGUGAGUAAUGUAUGGGGACUGCCCGAUAGAGGGGGAUAACUACUGGAAACGGUGGCUAAUACCGCAUACUAUCGGAUAACCCAUAUGGGAUUAGCUAGUAGGUGGGGUAAAGGUUCACCUAGGCGACGAUCUCUAGCUGGUCUGAUAGGAUGAUCAGCAACACUGGAACUGAGACACGGGCCAGACUCCUACGGAGGCAGCAGUGGGGAAUAUUGCACAAUGGGCGCAAGUCUGAUGCAGCCAUGCCGCGUGUAUUAAGAAGGCCUUAGUGAUGUAAAGUACUUUCAGCGGGGAGGCGUUACCCGCAGAAGAAGAACCGGAUAACUCCGUGCCAGCAGCAGCGGUAAUUC
Molecule: ribosomal RNA, 403 nt
Filed under: uncultured bacterium
Lineage: Bacteria
Description: partial 16S ribosomal RNA
Rfam family: Bacterial small subunit ribosomal RNA
Source: RNAcentral